This 103-nucleotide transfer RNA is filed under the name Sinisalibacter lacisalsi. RNAcentral describes it as "tRNA-Thr". Lineage: Bacteria; Pseudomonadati; Pseudomonadota; Alphaproteobacteria; Rhodobacterales; Roseobacteraceae. The record is from RNAcentral.
UCGCCGAACUGGUCAGCCGGAACGGGCCGCUGGCCCCGCUCGUGGCGGCGCGACGGGCGGCCCACCCGUCUUCCGGCGAGAUCAAUUUCCGCCUCGACGAUCC